RNAcentral lists this ribosomal RNA (894 nucleotides) under uncultured archaeon. Its description in RNAcentral is "bacterial SSU rRNA". It matches the Rfam family "Archaeal small subunit ribosomal RNA", at positions 82 to 977 of the family's 1478-position model. The record is from RNAcentral.
AUUACGGCUCAGUAACACGUAGUCAAUCUACCCUAUGGACGGGAAUAAUCUCGGGAAACUGAGAAUAAUGCCCGAUAGAACAUUAUGCCUGGAAUGGUUUAUGUUUCAAAUGAUUUAUCGCCAUAGGAUGGGACUGCGGCCUAUCAGUUUGUUGGUGAGGUAAUGGCCCACCAAGACUAUUACAGGUACGGGCUCUGAGAGGAGURGCCCGGAGAUGGGUACUGAGACACGGACCCRGGCCCUAUGGGGCGCAGCAGGCGAGAAAACUUUGCAAUGUGCGAAAGCACGACAAGGUUAAUCCGAGUGGUUUCUGCUAAAGAAACCUUUUGUCAGUCCUAGAAACACURAYGAAUAAGGGGUGGGCAAGUUCUGGUGUCAGCCGCCGCGGUAAAACCAGCACCUCAAGUGGUCAGGAUGAUUAUUGGGCCUAAAGCAUCCGUAGCUCGUUUUGUAAGUUUUCGGUUAAAUCCAUGCGCUUAACGUAUGGGCUGCCGGGAAUACUGCAUAACUAGGAAGUGGGAGAGGUAGACGGUACUCGGUAGGAAGGGGUAAAAUCCUUUGAUCUAUUGAUGACCACCUGUGGCGAAGGCGGUCUACCAGAACACGUUCGACGGUGAGGGAUGAAAGCUGGGGGAGCAAACCGGAUUAGAUACCCGGGUAGUCCCAGCUGUAAACUAUGCAAACUCAGUGAUGCAUUGGCUUGUGGCCAAUGCAGUGCUGCAGGGAAGCCGUUAAGUUUGCCGCCUGGGAAGUACGUACGCAAGUAUGAAACUUAAAGGAAUUGGCGGGGGAGCACCACAAGGGGUGAAGCCUGCGGUUCAAUUGGAGUCAACGCCAGAAAUCUUACCCGGAGAGACAGCAGAAUGAAGGUCAAGCUGAAGACUUUACCAGACA